UGGCAUUAAUUAAUAUGACUGCUUUAGUUUCUUUCAAUACCUCGGAUGUGUGCUGUUUUCACUUUGAGGUAAGGCUUAUUUGGGUUUAGCUUUUUAUCCUAGAAAGGAUAUUGUAUGUGCGCUAAGUCAGAUUUACUGAGAAUAUUCACAUUUGUCUGGUUUCAUCUGCUGAAUCUAUGUGUGCUUUUGGUAAUUUAUGCAUGCUAUUUUUUUUCCCCUAAGUGAUACUUGAACAUGGGUGAUGGACAAGGGAAAACAUUUUUUGUUAACUGGUUGCUUUUACUUUUUGAGCACAUUUUUUGGUUGCAUUUAGGCUGACAAUUUCGAAAUGUAGAAUUUGAAUGGCUGUCUAAAUGCAAUAAUCACACUUUUAUUUGCCUUUUGUCUUCUUGAAGGGCGGUUGAGAGGUUAGUAAUUAAAUUUCUUUCAAUUUUGCACAAAAGUUGCCAGAACAUAUAUUGAACUGUCUCUUUAGAUAGAUAUGAUAUCCUAAGACAUUGUUAUAUAUGUCUCAAUUUAUACCAUUUUCUCUGUUCUGUUGCCAUGGUUUCUUUUAUUCUUGCAAUACUUUGAACUUUCUAGGCCGGUCCUCACUGCUAAAUAAAGUUGCGUCUAAUAUUUUUUUCUCUUUGGUCUUUUCCUUUAAUGAUAAAUUAGAUGACUGAUGAUCUUUAGUAGGGGAUACAAUACUUCAGAAAUUCAGCACUUAAAAGGAGGAUAAAAGUAAGUGACCACUACUAGUAUGGGAAUGGUACUUUAUAAGCUUAGGCAUCUUAUAAUUUUACGGAUUUGUUGGUAUAUCAUUGUGUUAAUGUUUGAGCAAAUUGCUGAUCUUAGUAUGCCAAACCUGGAUGAGUUUUCUAGGUUUUCAGCUUUUCUCUUUGAAAGAUCUAGUAAGUAAAUGUGCUCAACCUGUGGAAGGUUUAGGGCUCAUUUCUUGAGUAUUUUGCUGACGCAUGUCAAAAGAUUUCGAUUCUGUUUGGUAUGUAGGAUGGAGAAGAGUGAAAAUAUUUCAAUCUAAUGGUUAAGCUACAAAGUAGGGAAAUUAUUAUGAAUCCUAACCAUUUGAUUAACAAAGUUUCCACCCUUACUCUUUGCCAUCCUUGGUACCAAGCAAAGCCAAAAUAAGUUUUUGAAAAAAAAAUGACGGUGAAUAGCUACUGUUGUUGGCUUGUUAUGAAAUCUUUCGACAUUCCACUCUUAUAGUCUGUACAAGCUGUAUAUUGAGGGCGAAGACAGAUGAAGACUAGAAUUCCAAUUUCAAAUAUACUACAUAUCUUAGUUACAGAAAUGCUACUGUAAACAAUUGUCCUUUUGAUGUUUCUGUUGUUUGUGUCGCGGAUCAAAUUCAACUAUUAUCUAAUUUAUCUUGUUUCUCAACCAUGAUGUUUCUGAUGUUGAUACCUCUAAGCCUUUAUGUCUGCUUACACUUGUGCAUGGACACAUGAAUGUUUUCUAAUGUCAUCUGGUAAUUCCCUUUGUUUCUCACUGUCAUAUGCUACCUGUCAUAUGCUACCAACAUUCUGUUACAAUGGUUGUGUUCCAUGUUACUUGGACUCAAGGCGUGUCAGAUACAGGUAUGUCUCCGACAUAAGUAUGAUUAUUUUUUUCCAAGUUUUUUCAUGUAUUUGAAAAGUGUCUUGAAAGUUCAUAUCCCCAUUUUUAUGAUCAGAUGUGCUUUGAACAUGGGUACUUAAUGAAGAGUCGAUCUAAAUAGGAUGUGUUUGCCUACACGUGCACGGACGCAUGACUGUUUUCUAAUGCCAUCUUUCUAGUAAUUCUAAUUUUUGCUCCUUUUCUUUGGUUCUGCGCUAUGCUCUUUGGCUUAUGAGUACUUAAUUGUAUAUUUGUAUUCUUUGUCAUGGUAUUGAUCUCUAGAAAUUGAUUUAUAUAUGAUGGUGAUGUGUUUGAAGUUUGAACUCUUUGGCUUGUGAACAUAGGAUCACUCCUGGAAGUGAGUUCUUUUAUUGCUUUGGCAUUUUUUU
Molecule: long non-coding RNA, 1985 nt
Filed under: Gossypium barbadense (sea-island cotton)
Lineage: Eukaryota; Viridiplantae; Streptophyta; Magnoliopsida; Malvales; Malvaceae
Description: long non-coding RNA (GBAR_LNC008534)
Source: RNAcentral